Molecule: unclassified non-coding RNA, 411 nt
Filed under: Hevea brasiliensis (rubber tree)
Lineage: Eukaryota; Viridiplantae; Streptophyta; Magnoliopsida; Malpighiales; Euphorbiaceae
Source: RNAcentral
CUUCUCUGAAACUUUCAGAUCUUCCGGAAAUACAGCCCGAGAGACACCAAAUCCCAGUGAUCGACCAAUUGAUUUAAGUCCUUCGGAUCCUUUUUUCACUCCUCUCUUAAAAGACCUUGACGGACUGCUAGUCGCAUGGCUUGAACGUUUUAAACCCUCAAUAUUGAAGCCACAUGUAUUUGUUGUUAGUGAUGCAGAAGGAGAGGAUAGUCUAGAAUCCAAGUCAUCCAACCUUACAAACUUCUCUCGCUGGCCCCCAACAUAUUGGGACUUGGAACCACAGUCGAACAUCUUGUACUAUCAAACACAUAUACAGUCAAGUUGGAAGUCUUGAAAAAUUAAUUCUUGAAAAUAGACAUGAAGAAGAUGAUGAUGAAGAAAAUGGUGAGUUGUUUUUGUUGGGGUGGUGGG